CAGCCGCCACGGGAAUACAGAGGGUGCGAGCGUUAAUCGGAUUUACUGGGCGUAAAGCGUGCGUAGGCGGCUAAUUGAGUCGGAUGUGAAAUCCCCGAGCUUAACUUGGGAAUUGCAUUCGAUACUGGGAAGCUAGAGUAUGGGAGAGGAUGGUAGAAUUCCAGGUGUAGCGGUGAAAUGCGUAGAGAUCUGGAGGAAUACCGAUGGCGAAGGCAGCCAUCUGGCCUAAUACUGACGCUGAGGUACGAAAGCAUGGGGAGCAAACAGGAUUAGAUACCCCAGUAGUCCCUGUCUCUUAUAC
Molecule: ribosomal RNA, 301 nt
Filed under: uncultured bacterium
Lineage: Bacteria
Description: partial 16S ribosomal RNA
Rfam family: Bacterial small subunit ribosomal RNA
Source: RNAcentral